GGUCGGAGUGGAUGGCCCAGGAAAGUAAGACCAUAGCAUGUAAGAUCUUGCUCACCCACAGAUAUCACUAUAUACAGCAAUUCUGAUUCUUCAAACAUCAUCUCCACAGACCUGUUCAUCCUGUGGCAUGCUUAGUUGUUUCCACACUGCUUUGCAAUGAAGAUUCCUUACUGCAUCUUAAUGUUUCUCUUUCUGGGCCUGUUGUUAAACUCAGGAAGUGAAGAUAUUCCCGAAGUCAACAGUACCCUGGACUGUAAAAAUCAAAUGCUGUGUAGUUUGGAGAAUACAAAUGGAGACUGCUCUGAUGUUCAGAAAGUGGGGCUGUGUGUCCUACGUCUUAGUCAAACUCCUCAGCAACAGACCUAAAGAAAUUGGAAACAAGGAAUGCAAGAGGAUCACCUCCUUUGAUGCAUUAAAUUAGAAAAUAUA
This 429-nucleotide long non-coding RNA is filed under the name Mus caroli (Ryukyu mouse). Its description in RNAcentral is "lncRNA (MGP_CAROLIEiJ_G0006286.1)". Lineage: Eukaryota; Metazoa; Chordata; Mammalia; Rodentia; Muridae. The record is from RNAcentral.